AAUCUGGGAUGGUCUGUCACUACUCCAAGAAGCUUGACAGGAUUAAAAGGGUCAUGUAUCAUCAUUCCUUGCAAGUUUACCUACAGUAAUUCCCAGCCAGGUGGCCUCCAAGUUUUAUGGUACUUGUACCAGAGUAAUGGCUAUCCAGCUGUAUUCAACCAAAAAGGAGGAAAUAUUUUGAACAGAUAUGAUGGGAAAACAAGUUUAACAGGCUCUGUGUCAGAGGGGAAUUGUAGCCUUAAAAUAGAAAGGCUGGAGAUGUAUCACAAUCAGGAACGACUUUACCCAUGGAUCGAUGAGCACCCAAUUACUUCCUACCAUUCACAGGGACACUCAUUUUUGGAUAAAAGCACUGAGAUUAUGGUUUCCGACCAUGCACAAGCUCCACAACUGAGCAUAAUUGAUCUCCCUAGGGUGGGGGAAAAAAGCAGAGUUGCCUGUAUAGUGCAGCAUACAUGUUUUGCUGCACCCCCUGCCCUGUCUCUGGAUGGGAUACCUGGAACAGACCACAUUUUCGACACCCCAGUGUCAGAAGGGAUUUGGGAAAGAAAAAUUGAAAGAACAUGGACUGUUCAGGAAGACCACAGCAGGGUGGAGUGCACUGUGA
Cyprinodon tularosa is the source of this 607-nucleotide long non-coding RNA. RefSeq lists it as uncharacterized. The transcript has 2 exons. Lineage: Eukaryota; Metazoa; Chordata; Actinopteri; Cyprinodontiformes; Cyprinodontidae. The record is from RefSeq and is a predicted model, not a curated record.